RNAcentral lists this long non-coding RNA (362 nucleotides) under Athene cunicularia (burrowing owl). RNAcentral's name for it is "lncRNA (ENSACUG00000006066.1)". The record is from RNAcentral. Lineage: Eukaryota; Metazoa; Chordata; Aves; Strigiformes; Strigidae.
GUCCCUAACUUUUUUUCUUAGUGUGUUUAACACUACAAACAUAUGUUUGAAUUUCAUACAAAUAAAAUUAAUUACUUUCUUUAAAGUGCCUGAAGAGCCCAAGAAAGUGGUUUCAGAAGAAAAAAUACACGUUGCAGUUCCUAAAAAAGCAGAACCUCCGCCACCUAAAGAACCUGAGAUGCCGAAGAAAGUUGUUCCAGAAAAGAAAAUACCUGUGCCUAAAAUACCAGAACCUGAGGUUGUGCCUAAAGAACAAGAACCUGUGGUUGUCCCAGAACCAGAGGCUGCACCUGAAGAACCAGAACCUCUACCAGAGAAAGUGGCCAAGACAACUUUGCCAGAAAAGAAAGUAGCUGUUCCAG